CAGCCGCCGCGGUAAUACCGGCGGCCCGAGUGGCGGUCACUAUUAUUGGGCUUAAAGCGUCCGUAGCCGGGUUGGGAAGUCCUCCGGGAAAUCUGGCCGCUUAACGGUCAGAAUGCCGGAGGAUACUCCCAGCCUAGGGGGCGGGAGAGGCCGAGGGGAUUCCCGGGGUAGGGGUGAAAUCCUAUAAUCCCGGGAGGACCACCUGUGGCGGAGGCGCUCGGCUGGAACGCGUCCGACGGUGAGGGACGAAGGCCAGGGGAGCAAACCGGAUUAGAUACCCGGGUAGUCCUGGCUGUAAACGAUGCGGACUUUGUGUCGGACAAGCUAUGAGCUUGUCCGGUGCCGGAGGGAAACCGUUAAGUCCGCCGCCUGGGGAGUACGGCCGCAAGGCUGAAACUUAAAGGAAUUGGCGGG
Molecule: ribosomal RNA, 414 nt
Filed under: uncultured microorganism
Description: bacterial SSU rRNA
Rfam family: Archaeal small subunit ribosomal RNA
Source: RNAcentral